UACGAAGGGGGCUAGCGUUGCUCGGAAUCACUGGGCGUAAAGCGCACGUAGGCGGUUUGCUAAGUCAGGGGUGAAAUCCUGGAGCUCAACUCCAGAACUGCCUUUGAUACUGGCGAUCUCGAGUCCGGGAGAGGUGAGUGGAGCUGCGAGUGUAGAGGUGAAAUUCGUAGAUAUUCGCAAGAACACCAGUGGCGAAGGCGGCUCACUGGCCCGGUACUGACGCUGAGGUGCGAAAGCGUGGGGAGCAAACAGG
RNAcentral lists this ribosomal RNA (253 nucleotides) under uncultured bacterium. Its description in RNAcentral is "partial 16S ribosomal RNA". It matches the Rfam family "Bacterial small subunit ribosomal RNA", at positions 524 to 776 of the family's 1533-position model. The record is from RNAcentral.